RNAcentral lists this non-coding RNA (787 nucleotides) under Anopheles gambiae (African malaria mosquito). RNAcentral's name for it is "Eukaryotic small subunit ribosomal RNA". It matches the Rfam family "Eukaryotic small subunit ribosomal RNA", at positions 1 to 752 of the family's 1831-position model. Lineage: Eukaryota; Metazoa; Arthropoda; Insecta; Diptera; Culicidae. The record is from Rfam by way of RNAcentral.
AUUCUGGUUGAUCCUACCAGUGAUAUACGCUCGUCUCAAAGGUUAAGCCAUGCAUGUCUAAGUACAAGCUUCCUAGAAAGUGAAACCGCAUAAGGCUCAGUAUAACAGCUAUAAUUUACAAGAUCCUCAUCCAAACAGUUACUUGGAUAACUGUGGAAAAGCCAGAGCUAAUACAUGCAUUAUGCCGGGACUGUUGGCCUCCGGGUCGGCGGAACUGGUGCACUUAUUAGUUAAACCAAUCGCCUCCGGGCGCUUUGAGUUGAAAUCUGGAUAAGGAUGCCGAUCGUACGGUCGCUUGCGACUGACGACAGAUCUUUCAAAUGUCUGCCCUAUCAACUAUUGAUGGUAGUGUAGAGGACUACCAUGGUUGCGACGGGUAACGGGGAAUCAGGGUUCGAUUCCGGAGAGGGAGCCUGAGAAAUGGCUACCACAUCCAAGGAAGGCAGCAGGCGCGUAAAUUACCCAAUCCCGGCACGGGGAGGUAGUGACGAGAAAUAACAAUAUGGACCUCUCUAACGAUGGUCCAUAAUUGGAAAUGAGUUGAGCAUAAAUCCUUUUGCAAGGAUCAAGUGGAGGGCAAGUCUGGUGCCAGCAGCCGCGGUAAUUCCAGCUCCACUAGCGUAUAUUAAAGUUGUUGCGGUUAAAACGUUCGAAGUUGAUACCCCGUCCAGACUCGCGUCCGUCGCGGGCGCCCGGCCUCUCGGUUGGGACCGUCCGUGUACGCGCUCGCGGCUGCGACUCACAAUGGUGUACCUGGGCGUUCUACUCCGUGACGGGUCAGGACUUG